Molecule: ribosomal RNA, 493 nt
Filed under: uncultured bacterium
Lineage: Bacteria
Description: partial 16S ribosomal RNA
Rfam family: Bacterial small subunit ribosomal RNA
Source: RNAcentral
AUUGAACGCUGGCGGCAUGCCUUACACAUGCAAGUCGAACGGUAACAGGUUAAGCUGACGAGUGGCGAACGGGUGAGUAAUAUAUCGGAACGUGCCCAGUCGUGGGGGAUAACGUAGCGAAAGCUACGCUAAUACCGCAUACGAUCUACGGAUGAAAGCGGGGGAUCGCAAGACCUCGCGCGAUUGGAGCGGCCGAUAUCAGAUUAGGUUGUUGGUGAGGUAAAAGCUCACCAAGCCUGCGAUCUGUAGCUGGUCUGAGAGGACGACCAGCCACACUGGGACUGAGACACGGUCCAGACUCCGACGGGAGGCAGCAGUGGGGAAUUUUGGACAAUGGGCGAAAGCCUGAUCCAGCCAUUCCGCGUGCAGGAUGAAGGCCCUCGGGUUGUAAACUGCUUUUGUACAGAACGAAAAGGUUUCUACUAAUACUAGGAGCUCAUGACGGUACUGUAAGAAUAAGCACCGGCUAACUACGUGCCAGCCGCCGCUGUAA